AGUUAGCGGCGUAGGGUACAGAGGUAAGAUGUUCUAUCUUUCAGACCUUUUGUUUCACGUUAUUGGAUUUGGCUUUUUUUAGCCGCCCUGGUCAUUUGACCAGGGCGUUUUUAU
RNAcentral lists this non-coding RNA (114 nucleotides) under Photobacterium halotolerans. Lineage: Bacteria; Pseudomonadati; Pseudomonadota; Gammaproteobacteria; Vibrionales; Vibrionaceae. The record is from RNAcentral.